GGUGCUCAGGUGGGUCAGGUCAUUGCCUUUCCUUUAAAAUAACAAGAUCCCUGAAUGACACCGUUAGGACCCAUGGGUCUGGCAUCUCAGGGGCCACCUCCAGAAGAUGUCCGGCUGCCUUUGCCAGCAUCUCGCCUCGGUCACAGCCACAAGUCUCUGAAUCAUGCUUUUCCUGCAGGGGCUGUGAGCGGGUGCACUCCUGCACGAACUGGGGUGCCCCCACCCCAGUCUCCCACCCACCCUAGACAGGCCCACUCUCAGGGCAUGUGUCUCCAGCAGCAUGGACCCAGCCUGGGCCGCGCAGCCACAGCAGAGGCUCAGAGGCGCAGCCACCACCUCCGGGCAGCCUCCUCCCUGCAGCAGACUGGCUGUUUUAUGUAAUUUUAGGGUAUAUUAAUGCAUCUCAAGGUGGCGGGCAUUAUAGUUGCGAUUAUUACCUAAAGACUUCCUUUAUAGCCUUCAUUUGCCAGUGCUCGUGACUUUCUGAAAAAUUAUCUUUGGGAACUGAAAUUUUCCUAGAUUAGUCUUGUGAGUUUUCUUCUUAGGAUCUGGGCAAAACAUAUUUGGUAAGGAGGAGAGAUUAGUGCUCCCGAAGUCAGCCUCCUUGGUGACUUCUGACAAGGAAAGAGAACAUCUGAAGGAGGAGGGGGGCCGAGUCUUUAACAUCCAAACGCCAGCUCCGCUGUUACUUGGUUUCCUCUGUUGUAAGAAGGCAGUCCCAUUUUACAGUGAGAGCUCAGCCCCGGGUAAGACCUCUGCAACACUCCUUUGGUAGCUUUAGCAUGGACAAGUCAGGAAGGCAAAUGCCAAUUACUGCAACACUGAUGAUGCACAAAAAUAGCUGGACAUGUAUUUUCCA
Molecule: long non-coding RNA, 859 nt
Filed under: Fukomys damarensis (Damara mole-rat)
Lineage: Eukaryota; Metazoa; Chordata; Mammalia; Rodentia; Bathyergidae
Description: lncRNA (ENSFDAG00000022944.1)
Source: RNAcentral